RNAcentral lists this ribosomal RNA (486 nucleotides) under uncultured bacterium. RNAcentral describes it as "SSU rRNA". It matches the Rfam family "Bacterial small subunit ribosomal RNA", at positions 26 to 518 of the family's 1533-position model. The record is from RNAcentral.
AGGAUUAACGCUGGCGGCGUGCAUGAAACAUGCAAGUCGAGCGCGGUGUGAUGCGGGGUAACCCAAUUCACAUCUAGCGGCGAACGGGUGAGUAACACGUGAGCAACCUACCUUUGAGUUGGGGAUAGCCCUGGGAAACCAGGAUUAAUACCCGAUGUGGUCACAACAGGACAUCCUGAUGUGAGUAAAGGCGUAAGCCGCUCAAUGACGGGCUCGCGGCCUAUUAGCUUGUUGGUGGGGUAACGGCCUACCAAGGCGAUGAUGGGUAGCUGGUCUGAGAGGACGAUCAGCCACACUGGGACUGAGACACGGCCCAGACUCCUACGGGAGGCAGCAGUUAGGAAUUUUCCGCAAUGGGCGAAAGCCUGACGGAGCAACGCCGCGUGAGUGAUGAAGACCUUCGGGUUGUAAAGCUCUGUCGGAGGGGAAGAACACAAUGACGGUACCUCCAACGAAAACCCCGGCUAACUACGUGCCAGCAGCCGC